CCACAGUCCUCUCACCUGCCGAUAGUCAAUGGCUUGAUGUAGCGAGCCUUUCCCCCUUUGUUAUUCUCAAUUUCGUUGGUUC
This 82-nucleotide non-coding RNA is filed under the name Compsopogon caeruleus. Lineage: Eukaryota; Rhodophyta; Compsopogonophyceae; Compsopogonales; Compsopogonaceae. The record is from RNAcentral.